CAUUGCGAGGUCGCGCUGCCCAGGGACCCCCGGCGGCCUCCAAGGCCGGUGCUCCGUCUCCCCGCCCCCGACAGGAGGGGAAACUGAGGCCCGAGAUGGGGGGAGCUCCAGCCGCAGGUCACCUCGGAGCCCUUGUUCGCUCCCUGUUCUGAGCUCGUCCCCUCCGCUGCGUGUGGACCUUUCGGGACUCGUGUCCUAGACAAAGAGGCCUCGGGUCACCGCGCCACCGGCCGGCGCCGGUUCGGAGCGUCAGGUCCCCUGGCCUCACCCGCCCCGUGGGGAGACUUGUGCCCGCUGAUGUCGAGAGACAGGUCGGGUGACGUGUGGGCCCGAGGUCCUGCAGGGGGUCGUGCAGAGCCCGUGUGAACCUGGCCCGACGGGCGCCAGAACCCCUGAUUCACUGCCCAUCACCUCCGACUCCAGCGUUUCAGGCCCCAAAGCCGCUCGUCGGUUACCGGUCAAAUACUCUGGUGAGCGUUAGCCCAUUUCCCCCUAAUAAGCUUUAAGGGAAAGUGUUGAAACCUCCUUUUAACAAACGGGUGUUUGAGCUUUAAAGUGAGGGCGCCCCAGUCCCUUGGGCAAGUGCUGCUCCUGAGGGCCUUGAACUGGGGGCCGUGGCCUUCCUGCCAUGCGGCAGAGGGGGUGGUCCCUGGGCUCAGGGGGGUUCUGGGAACUGUCUUGCAAAGCCUUGUGCAGGAGAGUGGGGCUGGGUUUGGGGGCCAGAAAGGCCUGAGUUCAGAUGCUGACGCAGCCCCUCGUUAGCCGUGGAACCUCGGGUGAGUUACUCCAUUCUCCUGAGCUUUCCUUUCCUUCCAGGGGGGAAACAGCAAGCAGUCGGGAGAGCAGAGGCCUGGUCUGUGUCUUUGAACCCCCAGUGCCUGGCAAGUGGUUAGUAGGUACUUAGUUGGUAUUUUGUGGGUGGAGGAGUACUUGAGGCAUUUUUACGAGAAGUUGGUCUUCCUGUGGCCUCUGUUGAUGAGGGGAGAUGGAGUCUUUCCAUGAAGUGAGGAUAGUGUUGGGGUCCCGGGCUUGGCUGGGCAGCUUUCCCGUGCCUGGGCGGAGAGCCGGCUGCUGACACGGGCUCCUCUGCCUGGCUCUUCUUCUGCCCUUUGUUGCCCCUGCAUUCGGAAGUGAUCAUGGGCUGCCCGUGCCCUGGUCCCUGGUAGUGCCGGCAGAGGAGUUGCUGAAAGCGUUUCCCCGUGUUUGGAGGGUUCACUCCUGUCCCUUCCCAACUCUGGAGCUGUCCCACUCGGCCGUCCUCCCGCCGCCUUUACACAUGCUUCCUGGCCCCUGGUGUGCAGCUUACUGAGUGUUCCCUAUGCGAGGCCCAGUGCUAGUUGCAGAGAAGCUUUUAAAAAAGGAAGAUAAAGCAUGGGCUGUGUCUAAGGAGCUGUGGGCUGGCGGUGGAGCCACCGUUCGGGUAAUUUUCACCAAGGGCUUCCCUCCAGGAAGCCAGGUCUGCCUCCCCUCUCUCCCCUUUCCAGGUCCUUAGUCAAGCAUGUUUCCUGGUGUGAUGUAGUGUGGGAAGUGGCUUGAUGUGGGAUGAGGGCACUAAUCAUACUUCAUGGAAAUCGUUGGUUUUCUUGUUUUUUUGCCUCUCUGCUCUGAUCUCAAGGUCAGUGUGUGAGUUUUGCCUCUCCGCAGCCCCAGUGCCUGGCAGGUGUCCGGUGCUCAGCAACUGUGCAACAACUGCCCAGCAGGAAAGAAGGAAAGGACAGACGCAUCCCGGUGAGGUGGCGUGGCCCAUCAUGUCAUGGAGAAUCAGGGGAAGACUGCUUGUGACCCAGCCAGGGGAGAGAGGAGACCCUGGAGAUGUGUCCCCAUCCUGUCAAGAAGCGGCUGGACCACGUGCUGCUGAGAUGCGUCCACUGUGUGCAGAGGUGUCAUGGAAGUUGUCAUCAGGAGUGGUCUAGACCCCAGUGUCCUUGAGCUUGAAGGAAGACGAGGUAACGUUGGAGAGUUAUCCCUGGUCCUGACCUCCUGCCCCGUGGCCUCCUCGUCACUCUGCGGUGCUGCCUUGGAGGAAGCCUCAGGGAUGGAAGCUCUGGCCUCUCAGGAUGGUGACCUGGGUCCCAGCUCCCCUGGAAGGGCCUCCUCAUGGUUGUUCUGGGGCUGUUCACGGAUGCUGGCGUAGCAGAGUGAAGAGGGGUGUUGCCGCCGAUCAUCACCAGACCUCCUUCUCCUGUUGCCUUAGCACGGUAUGGAAGGGCUUUGUCCCUGUGAGCGGGGCAGAGGGCAAGUCCUGGGACUCUGGGGACUUGGGAUUCAGAACUGGAGACCUUCAGCUGGCUCUGCCCUUCCCAGCAGGUGCCACAGAGCACCGUGGACCCAGAAGUCUGCUUUCCUUCCGUCUGGACCAGGUCAUCCAGUGGCCUCCGUGUCCCCUUGUCUGCUCCUGGUGUAACUUUAGAAACAAGAGUUCCCAUUGGAGUCUUUUGUGCUGGGCAUCGUGUCCUCUAACCCACUUCAAUAAAUCUUGAAACUGCC
Aethalodelphis obliquidens (Pacific white-sided dolphin) is the source of this 2487-nucleotide long non-coding RNA. RefSeq lists it as uncharacterized. The transcript has 5 exons. NCBI's taxonomy places the organism in Eukaryota, Metazoa, Chordata, Mammalia, Artiodactyla, Delphinidae. The record is from RefSeq and is a predicted model, not a curated record.